CCCCCUGGGAAGUCCUCGUGUUGCAUCCCU
RNAcentral lists this ribosomal RNA (30 nucleotides) under Sus scrofa (pig). RNAcentral describes it as "piRNA piR-ssc-802916". Lineage: Eukaryota; Metazoa; Chordata; Mammalia; Artiodactyla; Suidae. The record is from RNAcentral. RNAcentral also lists the same sequence under 2 other names.